GUUUUGACUUUGAGCUGCUUCCUC
This 24-nucleotide non-coding RNA is filed under the name Arabidopsis thaliana (thale cress). Lineage: Eukaryota; Viridiplantae; Streptophyta; Magnoliopsida; Brassicales; Brassicaceae. The record is from RNAcentral.